UGAAGAUAAGAGAGUGAAAUUACAAACCAUCUCAGGGAAACAGUUAGGAACCAUGUACAGUAUUGCACACUUAAAACCAGUAAAAGAGCCAACAACAUUAGCUGCUGAAAGCACAUCAGAGGGAAAAACUGGUACUGAAAUUGGAGUUGGUGACGCUGAACCAGAAACACCCACAGAAGAGAUUAGAGAAGUGGAUGGCACUGUAUCUCAUGACAGCAAAGUGGAAAACAUAGAGGUCACAGCAAUAGAAAAAGAGGAAUAUAUAGGGCAAGAUGUGUCAAACAAUGAUACAAGUGAUGCUGAUGACAGUUUUGAUGACAUGCUUACAGAGGAAGUGGAAGACAAGCAAUGGCUUCUGAAAGUAAAAUUGGUAAUGACCAGCAAACACACAGAGAGACUGGAGGCGAAAGUGAGAAACAUAAAAUUGUAUGGCUCUUCAUUUCAUUGCCUGAAACCGAGAAGCUGGAUAAGUGAUGAGGUUAUUGAUGCAUUUUUGAGCUGUGUAGUUGAGAAAGCAGAUGGAAAGGUACAAGCCAUCUCAUCAGUAGUUUCCACUGUCAUUCUCUCAGGCAGAGCUACACAAGUGAAAGUGAAGGUAAAUGUUAACAUACUUUCAUACAUAAAAUGAAAAAAAACCAAUUUCAGUCACUGAGUUAAACACAGUGUGAAACAGCAAAAACUAUGAUAUGUUUGAUGUGGGGGAGUAGUCCAAUAGUAAUACAUGUAAUGAAUCUGGGAAAUACAGUAUAAUGUAUAUUUCAUGGUUUGCCUCACUGGAAACUAUAAUUACAUUUCUAAUUUCUUUUAAAUAAAUACAGAGUGAAUUACUUCAAAAUGAUAUAUUAUUGCUUCCUUACCACACACCAGGUCAUUGGGUUCUUGCGGUAAGAUGUUUUGUAUUGUGCUUCUGGAUUAUGGGCAAUAAAUGUGGCAAUAAAUAAGAGAUUUGUAACACAAAUAUGGUAGUGGUGAUCUACUUUGCCAUGCUGCGGGUUUUCUGGGAGUGCAGUGCAUGCUAAGGAAAGUGGAAUGUGAUUGUUAAAAAUACAUUGAUACUGUCAAUUUACAUUGUUCAUGUAACAUGGAAGAAUACAUUCUGUAAAGAGUUGAUUGAUUUCACAAUAUGAUUAUAUGUUGUGUGUUUCUGUUACAUUACAAAUGAUUAUAUGUUAAUUGCAUACUGAUUGUUGAUAUAUUUUUUGAAUAUAUAUAAAUUUUUUGAGAUAAUCACAUUACCAAUACAUUUUAUGAAUAUAUUUAAACUUACAGAUAGCCUUGAUGAAAAAAAAGGAAUUGUUAAUAAUUGACCCAUUGUGUGAUGAGAUCAGAUAUGAAAGAACAUGCCUGAGGAAUUGGAGGUGAUUUAUUAGAUACUUACUUUCACAGUGGACACUAACUGUUCCAUUGAAAUUGUUUUUAAAGGGAAUGUUACAAUAAUGAGAAUAAUGUCUUCCUAUUAGCUACAAAUAAACAUUGAAACAGCAUAUACUUGUACUGAAUGUACUUAAUAAUGGACUUUGAGUGAACUUGUGUGAUGUGACUCUGGGGAACGACUUCACAGAAUGUGGACACACAUGAAACAGUAGCAUGUUGCAUGAUUGAGAAUGUGUUAUUAUCAACAUGGGGCACAGCAACUCAGGUGACACACUGUAAACUUCAUCAAACGAUUAACUAGUAAAUCCUCAUCUGAUUGGAACAGUAAAAUUAUGCAGCAUCCCAGACAAAGUGAUGGCCACAACUGUGGACCACUCAUCUUAAAGUUUGCAGAAACAUAUUUGCAGCACAAAGACAUCAGUAUGGUGGAAACAACACAGAAGGCUAAUACUGCGUUUAGAAGACAUAUAGCAAUUCUUCUAAUGAAGGAGUCAGAAAGCGUGGAGGACUACUGCAUAUACUGCAACCUUAUCGACUGUGAAAAAGAAAGUGAGGAUUGCACGAUGGUCCAGUGUGUUUCUUGCAAGAGGUGGGCACACAUACCAUGCAUUACAGAAGGAAUCAAUCAAGAAAACCUGACAUAUGAGAAGAAAGAGUACAACUGCAAGACAUGUGCAUAGUUCACUUCAUUAACAAAAAGAAAAAAGGCAAUAAAGAAAACCCAUUAUUUAACUGCCUCUUGUUCAUAACAUAAUGCAACCCAAAGAAAUAUAUUUCUAUGUAUACAUCAGUUUAUAAU
This is an RNA transcript of Gopherus flavomarginatus (Mexican gopher tortoise), 2173 nucleotides long. It is a transcript of the gene named sentrin-specific protease 1-like, with no coding region annotated. The record is from RefSeq and is a predicted model, not a curated record. NCBI's taxonomy places the organism in Eukaryota, Metazoa, Chordata, Testudines, Testudinidae. The transcript is spliced from 8 exons.